Molecule: long non-coding RNA, 456 nt
Organism: Mauremys reevesii (Reeves's turtle)
Lineage: Eukaryota; Metazoa; Chordata; Testudines; Geoemydidae
Exons: 3
Source: RefSeq, a predicted model, not a curated record
AUUCCAAAGCAAAUGGCUAUUGUGGUGAUGACCCGAGGUCAGAAACUCAAAGCAGAUCCCUCACUCAUUGUCAAAGGAAAAGCCCACACAGAUCACAUUUGCAAAAUGAAGGCUUCUUUGCAUGAGACUUUUGAUUGAGCUGGCUUCAUUUAAAUACCAAAUUGGGUUCUUCAUCUUCCUGCAAAAGGUCCUUGCUCUGCUCCCACUUUUGCAAGAAGGGGAACUUGCUUCUGGGAAGAGUUAUGCUUUCACUUGGCUCCAGUGCAGUACAGUGUUUCAGAAUUAUGAUACUUGUUCACCCAAUUUAUAGUUCCUCAGUUACUUUCAUGACCUGAGCAACUCUGCUUCAGACUGAUUAAAAAUGAAUAUUUAAUGACCUGUAACAUUGUCAUAGAAAUUUGUAAAAAGGUCAAAUGAGUGAAUUACUUUAUUACAAGCAAAAAUAAAAUGUUUAAU